ACGCGAAGAACCUUACCUACUCUUGACAUCCAYAGAACUUCGCUAGAGAUAGCUURGUGCUUCGGGAACUGUGAGACAGGUUCUGCAUGGCNGUCGUCAGCUCGUGUUGUGAAAUGUUGGGUUAAGUCCCKCAACGAGCGCAACCCUUAUCCUUAUUUGCCAGCACUAAGUGGGAACUUUAGGGAGACUGCCGGUGAUAAACCGGAGGAAGGUGGGGACGACGUCAAGUCAUCAUGHCCUUACGAGUAGGGCUACACACGUGCUACAAUGGUCGGUACAGAGGGUCGCAAAGCCGCGAGGUCUAGCUAAUCCCACAAAGCCNGUCGUAGUCCGGAUCGGAGUCUGCAACUCGACUCCGUGAAGUCGGAAUCGCUAGUAAUCGUGAAUCAGAAUGUCACGGU
This 401-nucleotide ribosomal RNA is filed under the name Shewanella benthica. Its description in RNAcentral is "bacterial SSU rRNA". It matches the Rfam family "Bacterial small subunit ribosomal RNA", at positions 959 to 1363 of the family's 1533-position model. The record is from RNAcentral. Lineage: Bacteria; Pseudomonadati; Pseudomonadota; Gammaproteobacteria; Alteromonadales; Shewanellaceae.